CGUCCCCACGAGCAGCGUCAGCCGGCAGGCGAGGCGACCCAAGAGCACCUCAAACUCUGACACCCUACCCCGGCCGCCGCCACCUCCAUCGCCGCAGACGCCUCCGAGGCAACUGAAGCACAGAUGCUGAUAGCACGGCUUGGCAUGCUUGUUUGGUUUUGUCCCCUGGUGGAUGAUUUAUUUUAGUUUUAACCUGUGUGUUGCUUCAUUCCAAUUGUAUACUCUACCGGUUGGAAUAUUUGAACUUUAUUUGAGAUCCUUAUGACUGAACAUAUAGCACGAAAAAAAAAGUAAGCUUGUGCACAGCAAGGUUAAGGAACUGAGAAUGUAUGAUAAAAUGAAGUAGCACCUACAGAUGAAGUGUACUGUUAAUCUGUUGUAGGCUGUGUUAUUUUGUAUUAAGUUGAUUAGUGAAUUACUAUACAGCUAUGUAGCACGGACACGGCAGCAAACUGGCAUGUCGGUGUCCGACACCGACACGCCGUUGACACGCCACCGAUACGUAUCGGUAGCGUAUCGGCGGAUUAAAUUGUAAAAAUAAAUAUCUUUAAUCACCGAUACUCCGUGCACACGGCGUCGAUGCAUCUCCAAGCGGCUGAGAGAAGGGGGAGGCGUAGCAGCCUGAGUUGUAUACUUGUGUAGCAGGCGGCAGCGGCAAGCCGGCAACUCGACCUGGAGAGCCGCAGCAGCGGGGCCUGAUCCGGCGUGGCCGGUGGCAGCAGGAGGUGCGCUGUCCUACACGGCGGACAGGUGGAUGGCGGCAGGAGGUGGCCGUCUCGCGGCAGAGGCGGAGGGAGAUGGCGGAGCUGAGCGCCGUUGGUGAGGCGGCGACCAUGGACAGUUGAGAAAUCGACCACCGUGGGAACAGAUGAGCAGUUUGUGUGGGGAGUAAAAUGAAGCUCUGGUGGGCUAGUGGGCUGCGCGGAGAGGGAUUGAGCAGGCCUAAGUUCAGUUGGGCCAAUCCAUUUUCUUUUCUGUUUGCUGUAUGUAUGUUUGCUAAUGAUAGUUUUUGAGGUGAUUAUAUA
Molecule: long non-coding RNA, 1025 nt
Organism: Setaria italica (foxtail millet)
Lineage: Eukaryota; Viridiplantae; Streptophyta; Magnoliopsida; Poales; Poaceae
Exons: 2
Source: RefSeq, a predicted model, not a curated record